This is a non-coding RNA of Nelumbo nucifera (sacred lotus), 3938 nucleotides long. The record is from RefSeq and is a predicted model, not a curated record. NCBI's taxonomy places the organism in Eukaryota, Viridiplantae, Streptophyta, Magnoliopsida, Proteales, Nelumbonaceae.
GUGAUUUUGAAAACUUUCCUUAUUAUAUUUUUGUCUUAGGUUGAAUCAAGACAUGUUUGGUUUUAUUUUUGACAUGAGAUAGACCGGUUGCUGUUCUAAAAAUGAUGUUGUCAAGGUUGGUUUCCUAAGGACCUGAUGGUGGGGGGGCUUCCAUGUCAAUGAGUAUUGAUUCUUCUAUUAUUAUAUACAAUUCAUGAGUCAGCAUUUGGUCCUAGUUAUUAUAUCUUUUUAUUAGUCAGUUUUGGAUCAGCUUUGAAUAACCGUUUUGGUUUUGUUGUUCUACAGGGAUAUUGGGAAUUUCUAUUUUUAUGCUUUGAUCUGUUUUACAAACAAUGAUCAAGAAAUUCCGUUCUUAAGAAAUAUCUAUGCUCACAUUAAUCUGACAUACAAUGAGUUUUAUCAUUUUUUCCUCAUGUUCUCCAUCUCCCUUCAAUUUCUUGAUGGCUGGUUCAAUGGGCUUCUUCUGUUGUUGUGGAUCCUAAAGCAUCUAAAGCUUGAAAUGAGAGAUUGAAGUUCUCGUUCAAUGUUGUUCAAUCUUUGUUACCAUUCGACUUUUUUCUGCUUCUCAUUACCUAAGCAGCACCAAAUAAUUGGAUUGCCAUGGUUGGUCCUAUGGGAAGUGCAAGUUCCCUUAUAUUUAAUUAGUUUUGCCAUUAUCAUAUGAUUCUCUCUUGGUUUAUCCUAUAGUUCUCCCAAAGAUUACUUGGGAUACACAUGGUAAAUCCGUUAUGGAUUCUCUGGAUAUUGAAGUGAUGAAAGGUGUCUUGUAUUAAACAAGAAAUGGUAUGAAAAUUCAUCCAUACAGGGAUAUUUUUUGUGUAUGUUUAUUCUUAGCAAGUUUUAACCGAAAGGAACCUAAUUAUAUGACAUAAAAAGUAGCCUUUUUGUGCUUGGGUUGUGAGCAGUUGAUGGAUAAUUGUAAUUUGACAGGGGAUUGGAUGUACAUAAAUUCUGAACCAUGUUUCUCUCAUGGCAUGAAGUUUGAUUUCUAUUGGACACAGGCAUAUGGAUAGGUAUUGCAUAAGGGGAUUCACCUUGGCAUCCCUAGCUCUAAUGUUUUAAUGAGGAUUAACUAAAUUAAUCAGGCAAGAAUUUUUUAAUAGUUUAUCUGUGUAUUUUUAGCAGUAUAAUUGGACAUGUUAUAUAUAUUCAUUUUCAGAACUAUGUUAUGCAAGUGUUACGUUUCUUUUUUGGCAUGAGGUGGCUUAUCACAGACGUGAAACAUGCAUUCUCAUGCUUGUCAGCCCAAGAUUUUACUAUCAUGAUUGGUAUUUUUCAUCAAGGACAAUAUAGUUGUUAUAGGAUAUAAAGUUAGUCAAAAUAGUCAUGGAAAAUCUAUAGCUCCACAUGUUAUCAGAGAAGUAUUGCAGCCCUCCAUCAUUGUUGCAUGCUGUCCAAUUGCAAUGGAAGUUCUUGUAUGUGAUGAAAUAUGAUGUGGCUGUCUGAUCAAUUGCACCACUUAAUCAACCUAGUCUUCCUUCCACAGCCUGUUCACUUAUGGUCAGUCUCACUAUCUGAUCUCAACAGUCCAAUGCAUAUAAAUCCUAGAAGACAAUGGUUUGCAGCUCCUCUACUGUGGGUUUCACUUGUGUGCCUGUUCACUUAUGGUCUAUUUCACCAUCAGAUCUCAAUAGUCCAAUGCAUCGGAAUCCUAGAAGGCAAUGGUUUUCAGAUCCUCUUUUGUUGGUUUCACUUGUCUUUAGUUGGUGAGUUGGUUCAUGGUUAUUGAGAGUGUUGAUAUAGAUGAAUCAUUUUUUUGCCUUGUGUCAUCAUCAAAACAUGUUCUCUUUUGUUUUAAUUAGCAGUGAAUGAUUACUGCACUACACAUCUAUGGAGUUGUACAUGGUUUUUGAAGAUUGUGAGAUAUGAUAGACUUUCAGUUAGGAUUCUUUUCUUAUUUGACAUUUAGUUUUGAUAUUUCUUAUGAUUUCACUCGGAUUGAGCAGUUUUAACAUCAGUUUUGGAUUUUUGAGUUGCUUGCUUGUUAUUGACUGAGAUUUUUGGAUGAAUUUUCUGGUUUAUAUAGACAAACUACAGGUUCUUGUAUUGUAAUUGGGAUUCGACACGUUGAUUUGGACUUGACAUGGCUUAUAUAUGCCGAAUUCAUUAGGUACAAUAGAAGUUCUUAUAUGGGAUGAAAUGUGAUGUGGCUAUCUAAUCUCAGUUGUCAAUCCAGUCAUCCACAGCCUAUUCAUCUGCCAGUCAGUUUCACUACCUAAUCUCAAUAUUCCAAUUGCAACAAAAUUCUAUAAGGCAGUGGCUUGCAACCCCUCAACUGUGGGUUUGACCUGUCUUUUGUUGGUUUCGAAUUCAAGAGUUUCUCUUUCCUUUUUGAUUGGAAGCAGAAAAUUAUUAUUGCUCUACAGAAACAAUGAAAUGGUACAUGGUCUUUUACUUUUGAGAGUGCUGAUAUUUCUCUUCUCAUUUUGAUUAGCAGUGGAUUGAUUAUUGCUUUGUAGAUCUGAUGAGUCAGUGCUUGGCUUUUGAGGGUUCUGAGAUGUAAGUGUUUCCCCAAUACAUUUAGUUUGGAUUAUUCUCUUGUAUAAUGAUUGCCAAGCAAAUGUUGAGACUUUUUUCUUUCCGGAAUUUUUCCACUCCUUAAUCCUAUCAGACAAAUUGCAGGUUCUAUUGUUAAUUUUCAGGUUCAGAAGGCUGAUAUGAUCCAGAUAGUGAUAACUAAUCCAUAGGGGAUUUUCAUGGUGCUAUUGAGUUUCUUAGUCUUGUUUUAUACAUGAUUGAGUGGUUUUUUAAUCCAUUUAUCAAGUUUUCAGGUGGACUGGGCAAAUUUGGUAGAAAGUGUGUUGGUUUGUUGGGAGGUUCUUAGUUGUUUUUUCUUGGUACAAUUUGCCUUUUGCUAAUUUUAGCAGAUUUAAUUUCAACCAAUCUCUAUCAUUUAUUUUUGUUUGGCGAUUGGAUAUUGAGUUUCUGCAUUGUUCAUGUCUGCUGGUUAACAUCUGUGGUUACAGUUUUUAUUGGAGGGAGGUUGAAUUUGAGUUUGAUGUUUGUUCCAUCAAUGAUCAUCUUUGCCUAUUAUUGAUAUAAUUAUAUAAUUAUACCCAAUUUUCAUACCUUUUUUUAAGCCUCUCUAUUAUUGUGAAACCAAUUUAAUGUGUCUGCCAACUAUUGCUUUUUUAAGUUAAAUAAAAAUCCUAGAAGGUACUAUAGUUUCCUUGUAUCAGAGUUUAUUAAUUGGUUCUUGUGGUUUGUCAGACAUGCAUAUGAGCUGACAUACGCCUGGGGUAAGGCUUUUACAUCCCCUCAUUUGGUUUCUUCUAUGAUUUUAGUAAAAUUUUAGGUGGCCCCUCCACCGGGAGUAAAUUUUGCGGUUACAAAAAAUCCUUGAAGGUAUCGACUUUGCUGGCCCUCCAUUUUGUCUGAGUUUGAUCCCUAUUUUGUUGGUUUUUGGGAGUCCUGUUUAUUUUAAGGUCAUAGUUUCUUUGCAUUAGAUUGUAUCAGAGCCAAGAUCAUGGUUGGGUUUGCAUUAGACUACUCAUUGGAUUCUUAUCUGAUUUAAUAAACUUUUAAUCAGUGUUUUGUCUUGGUUUCGAUGUCACUUUCUGAAUUUAUUGAUGCUUUAUUCCUUUUACGUGGGGAUAGAUAUAUGACAAAUUCUGUUGUACAUUUUCAGGAUUCAGAAGUUUGAUUUAAACUAUACAUGGAUAUAAUGAAUAAUUGUGACUUGAAUUCCAGUUUGUAGCCUGCUUCAAGAUUCAACCCAAAGCUUGUGGGGAAGAACUCAAAUGGAAAUUUUCAUUAAGGUUUGUGGUUGAUUCCAAUCCGCUUUGUAUAAUGGGUCUAUUAUGUAGUUUUUUUUGCAGUGGUCCAGUGGAUUUACUUUGUCUCUACAACACAGAUCUUUUUUUUUUGGCUUUGAGAUGUUAUUUAACUCUGUAUUCCAACUUUUAUUUAGUGGAUUUCUACCUUCUCCUCCGUGGACG